UAGUUUGGGGAUGUGGGACUAUAUGGACUUGAUGGAGACAAUCUUGGACUGCUUGGAGAAUAUGCUAACGAAGGACUAUACUUUGCUGACUGUAGAUUGUAACUUGGGGAAGUAGGACUAUACGUUGGGGAUGUUGGGCUAUAUGAGGGUGACGUAGGGCUGUAUCCAGGUGACGUGGGGCUGUAGGCAGGGGAUGUAGGGCUAUAUGAUGGGGAGGUCGGGCUGUAAGAGGGUGAUGUGGGGCUGUAGGAAGGUGAAGUAGGACUAUAUGAAGGUGAUGUAGGACUGUAGGAAGGUGAAGUCGGACUAUAAGCAGGUGAAGUGGGGCUAUAGGCAGGUGAAGUGGGGCUGUAUGCAGGUGAAGUGGGGCUGUAGCUGGGAGAUGUGGGGCUAUAACUGGGUGAUGUGGGGCUGUAGCUGGGUGACGUGGGGCUAUAGCUGGGUGAUGUGGGAGAGUAGGAUGGACUGGUAGGCGAAUAAGCCGGACUUGUAGGACUAUAUCCUGGAGAACUAGGGCUAUAUGUCGGAGAGGUCGGACUGUAACCUGGUGAUGUAGGGCUGUAGCCCGGAGAUGUGGGACUGUACCCAGGUGAUGUGGGGCUGUACCCAGGCGAUGAUGGACUAUAGCCUGGGGAUGAUGGACUGUACCCAGGAGAUGAGGUGGGAGAAAAUGCCAUCCCACCAACAUAAGGUGAAAAUUGGGCAUCCGAUGUGGGAGACAGACGCAAAUUUGGACUC
Molecule: long non-coding RNA, 738 nt
Filed under: Phaseolus vulgaris (common bean)
Lineage: Eukaryota; Viridiplantae; Streptophyta; Magnoliopsida; Fabales; Fabaceae
Description: long non-coding RNA (PVUL_LNC004455)
Source: RNAcentral